RNAcentral lists this ribosomal RNA (1833 nucleotides) under Triticum aestivum (bread wheat). RNAcentral's name for it is "partial small subunit ribosomal RNA". The record is from RNAcentral. Lineage: Eukaryota; Viridiplantae; Streptophyta; Magnoliopsida; Poales; Poaceae.
AGUCAGUGGAGGUGGAAUAGACUAGACUAAUCUUGUAGCGGGGUCUCCGGCCGCCUCUACCACCGAGGCGAGCACGCCCCUGCCGGCCUGCUCUGUCGUCGGUGAGCACGCGCAGCGGCCCGAAGAGGCGCGUACUCGCGGGGCAAAGUGCGCCAGCGACCCGAGGUGCCUUGGUAUAGAAUGAAGUGAAGAGAGCAGAGUAUCUUGGUCGUACUAAUCAAUUCAUCAUAUUAUGUGCGCAAUAAGAUUUUGCUAUGCUUUCACCGUUGAUGCCCACUGGUUGGAUCAUGCUUCUGUUUAUGAGCUCAUUGAAGUAACUCUCUCGUAGCUCAAAUGGGCCAAUUUCUCGUUUGUGUGGCACACAAAACCUUCAGCUAUCCAUCUCCAUAUCAGUUGGUCUCUCUUAAUUUUGUUAUCUUCUGGAAAUAUGCUUACGUAUAAUAAAUGAUGCGAAGGUAGAUCAUAGAAACAUGAACACAAUUCUUAAUCUAAAGCAAGAUGGUGUAGGCUACUUUUUGUGAUUCAACACAAAUAGCAGGCAUACAUGCACCAAUACUAAGAAAAUUAGCAAAGAAAAUGAGUAAAAGAGGCACUUGACUUGUAGAUUAUAAAAGAGUGAUGAUCUAGAAGUCAACCCUCUUUUACCAGUAGUUUUGAUCUACCUUCUCAUCCAUAGGAUUAGUUAUUAUGUCUAAGCAUGUUUUUAGAAGAUUAGAAUAUUAAGCAAGCUCAUUCGAUAUGUAAGGUGGAUAGUUUGAGGUUUUGUUUAUCAUGAAAAACAAGGGAUUAGCAAGUUUGAGCUCGGUGGUAGAAUUGCUUAGUGAGAUCGUGAAUAGGAGCAUGAUUCAACCAAUUGACAUCAAUGUUGAUAAAGGCAUGGAAAAAUCUUAUUGUAUACAUGAUAUGGUGAUUGAUUUCAUAUGCUGAAGAACCCUUGCAUGGCACUGAGUGAAAGCCUUCUAUCCAAAGGCGGCAAGAUGUGAAGAUUAUCCAUCCGAAAGAGCAUGACAGGUAGCAGCUAUGUCACAAUGAGGUCUGUUGCAAUUGUUGAUUGGGUGUAGCUUGUUGAGUGCUCCAAGUUCUACAUGCCCUGGAUUUAGAAUAUUGUGCUGCAUGUCUCCAUUCUUGGCAGUCACAAUGAUUCAAGAAUACUGUGUUUGCAAUGACAUGAAGCUCCUAUUGUAUUUCUACCAACUAGUGCUGAAUUAGUCACGAGUCUCUUGGUGUAUUUGUACCCACUGAUGCUGAAUUAUAGUUCGAGUCAAGAACUGUCAAAGUUCUGUGUCGGCUCCUGCCGUUAGCUCAUGAGGAACUUGUUUACCCUAUUCCUUUAUUUUGAUGCUGGCUUGUUAUACAUUGUGUCUCUUUUCUUUAUAGCAGUAGCAGCUUUUGAAGUCUUCUUGCUCUGCUCUUUGUAUGAAAUGUAAGGUAAUUGUUCUGAAAUGAUAUGUAUAUGUUACUUUUGUAGGUAAAAUUACAUGUACAGUACCAACGUCUUCAACUGUUAUUUUCUUUCUGACUGCCAUCAGUGGCAGGAUCACAAGUGAGGCCGUGCAAUGUCCGUGCUUAUCUACUUGUUAAGCCGUUUGAGGAUAUUGGUCCUGCAUGCUUUCCAUUUUUGCUAAGUAGUUUUUGCUAAUCGAGGCGGCAUGAGAGGCUGAGGCUCUAGAGCACUGCAUUUGCCUUGUUUUGAUUUGUAUUUCUUCUGUAGUAGGGGCAUUAAGUUCUAAUUGAGAUUGUAUUGCAGUCAGUUCAGUUUAUAGUACAAUUUUUCAAACAGUUCAGUUUAUAAUAAGACAUGAAGUUGUAAUUGAGAUACGAUUUAAUUUAGCC